GAUGAACGCUGGCGGCGUGCUUAACACAUGCAAGUCGAACGGAAAGGCCCAAGCUUGCUUGGGUACUCGAGUGGCGAACGGGUGAGUAACACGUGAGUGACCUGCCCUGCACUUCGGGAUAACCCUGGGAAACUGGGUCUAAUACCGGAUAGGACCUCCUUCUGCAUGGUGUGGUGUAAAGUUUUUCGGUGUGGGAUGAGCUCGCGGCCUAUCAGCUUGUUGGUGGGGUAGUGGCCUACUAAGGCGUCUACGGGUAGCCGGCGUGUGAGGGGGUACGGCCACACUGUGAGUGUGAGACAGGCCAGAGUCGUAUAUGAGGCAGCAGUGGGGAAAAUUGGACAAUGGGGGCGAGCGUGAUGUAGCGACGCCGCGUGGGCGAUAAGGGCCUUUGGGUGGUAAAAACCUUUCGCUAGGGAAGAAGCGAUUUUGUGACGGUACCUGGAAAAGAAGCACCGGCUAACUACGUG
This 467-nucleotide ribosomal RNA is filed under the name uncultured bacterium. RNAcentral's name for it is "partial 16S ribosomal RNA". It matches the Rfam family "Bacterial small subunit ribosomal RNA", at positions 28 to 507 of the family's 1533-position model. The record is from RNAcentral.